RNAcentral lists this ribosomal RNA (253 nucleotides) under uncultured bacterium. RNAcentral describes it as "partial 16S ribosomal RNA". It matches the Rfam family "Bacterial small subunit ribosomal RNA", at positions 524 to 776 of the family's 1533-position model. The record is from RNAcentral.
UACGGAGGGAGCUAGAGGUGUUCAGCAUUACUGGAAGAAAAGCGCACGUAGGCGGCCGUUCAAGUCAGAGGUGAAAGCCCGGGACUCAACCCCGGAAUAGCCUUUGAAACUAGAUGGCUUGAAUCUUGGAGAGGUCAGUGGAAUUCCGAGUGUAGAGGUGAAAUUCGUAGAUAUUCGGAAGAACACCAGUGGCGAAGGCGACUGACUGCACAAGUAUUGACGCUGAGGUGCGAAAGCGUGGGGAGCCAAUAGG